UACAGAGGCCUCAAGCGUUAUCCGGAAUCAUUGGGCGUAAAGGGUGUCAAGGCGGUCAUGUUAGUCGUUUGUUAAAUCCGGAGGCUCAACCUCCGGCCUGCGAGCGAAACGGCAUGACUAGAGGUUGGAAGAGGUGCGUGGAACUCACGGUGUAGGGGUGAAAUCCGUUGAUAUCGUGGGGAACACCAAAGGCGAAGGCAGCGCACUGGUCCAAAUCUGACGCUCACACACGAAAGCCAGGGUAGCGAAUGGG
This 253-nucleotide ribosomal RNA is filed under the name uncultured bacterium. RNAcentral's name for it is "partial 16S ribosomal RNA". It matches the Rfam family "Bacterial small subunit ribosomal RNA", at positions 524 to 776 of the family's 1533-position model. The record is from RNAcentral.